ACGCUCGACACCUACGGGAGGCGGCAGUAGGGAAUCUUCCACAAUGGACGCAAGUCUGAUGGAGCAACGCCGCGUGAGUGAAGAAGGUUUUCGGAUCGUAAAGCUCUGUUGUUGGUGAAGAAGGAUAGAGGUAGUAACUGGCCUUUAUUUGACGGUAAUCAACCAGAAAGUCACGGCUAACUACGUGCCAGCAGCCACGGUAAUCUGAGCGGGCUGGCAAGGC
RNAcentral lists this ribosomal RNA (223 nucleotides) under uncultured bacterium. RNAcentral describes it as "partial 16S ribosomal RNA". It matches the Rfam family "Bacterial small subunit ribosomal RNA", at positions 328 to 539 of the family's 1533-position model. The record is from RNAcentral.